CUUGCCCACUCCCUGCCCUGGCUCUGGGGUCCUCAUGGCCAGGCUGCAUGGGCUCUGGCAGUCCCCAUCACCCACCAGGAAGAAUAAACAAGACUUGAGGGCAAGAAGAGGCAACAGCCCAACAGACUGAAAAUGAGAAAGCUGGACAACACCAAGGACAAGGCAACCAUUGUGCACGGAUGGUGGUCAUGUGGGUGGGCACAGCCAUUCGGCAGAGGAAUGGAAGUCAAAUCAAUCCUGUGGUUCUCAGUCCCUGGAAACCCCAGAAUCCAUCACCAUGGAUCCUCCAGCAGAUCCCACAGCCGGGUGCCACUGGAGAUGUCAUCGAUGCCCCGGUCCGGAAGCAACUGCGGACGGGCAGAGGCAACGUGAACCUGAGACUCCGGCCCAGAUCCUGACCGGAGACCCCU
Molecule: non-coding RNA, 410 nt
Organism: Ceratotherium simum simum (southern white rhinoceros)
Lineage: Eukaryota; Metazoa; Chordata; Mammalia; Perissodactyla; Rhinocerotidae
Source: RefSeq, a predicted model, not a curated record